CGGAGUAUAGCAUAAUUUGGUAGUGCUCUAGUUUUGGGAACUAGAUUGUGUAAGUUCAAAUCUUACUACUCCGA
RNAcentral lists this transfer RNA (74 nucleotides) under Siphoviridae sp. ctMYJ33. RNAcentral's name for it is "tRNA-Pro". It matches the Rfam family "tRNA". Rfam says of the family: Transfer RNA (tRNA) molecules are approximately 80 nucleotides in length. Their secondary structure includes four short double-helical elements and three loops (D, anti-codon, and T loops). Further hydrogen bonds mediate the characteristic L-shaped molecular structure. tRNAs have two regions of fundamental functional importance: the anti-codon, which is responsible for specific mRNA codon recognition, and the 3' end, to which the tRNAs corresponding amino acid is attached (by aminoacyl-tRNA synthetases). tRNAs cope with the degeneracy of the genetic code in two manners: having more than one tRNA (with a specific anti-codon) for a particular amino acid; and 'wobble' base-pairing, i.e. permitting non-standard base-pairing at the 3rd anti-codon position. Lineage: Duplodnaviria; Heunggongvirae; Uroviricota; Caudoviricetes. The record is from RNAcentral.